RNAcentral lists this long non-coding RNA (203 nucleotides) under Volvox carteri. RNAcentral describes it as "long non-coding RNA (VCAR_LNC002300)". The record is from RNAcentral. Lineage: Eukaryota; Viridiplantae; Chlorophyta; Chlorophyceae; Chlamydomonadales; Volvocaceae.
UCCUGCCCCAUAUGGGACAGGAAGUGGCAGGAGCCCCACACGCCUUGUUACCGUGUCCCAUAUGGGGCAGGAAGUGGCAGGAGCCCCACACGCCUUGUUACCGUACAAGCAUGUACGGAUUUGAAACCAACAAACAUACGAGAGAUAUUUGUAAGUGCUCCCCUUGUUUCGUAAAGUUCCUUCAACUUCCGCGAUUCUGAAUG